RNAcentral lists this transfer RNA (76 nucleotides) under Chloroflexota bacterium. RNAcentral describes it as "Chloroflexi bacterium tRNA-Ala". It matches the Rfam family "tRNA". From Rfam's summary of the family: Transfer RNA (tRNA) molecules are approximately 80 nucleotides in length. RNAcentral also lists the same sequence under 2 other names. Lineage: Bacteria; Bacillati; Chloroflexota. The record is from RNAcentral.
GGGGCUGUAGCUCAGCUGGGAGAGCGCCUGCUUUGCAAGCAGGAUGUCAGGGGUUCGAGUCCCCUCAGCUCCACCA